GUGCCAGCCGCCGCGGUAAGACGUAGGGGGCCAGCGUUGUUCGGAAUUACUGGGUGUAAAGGGUUCGUAGGCGGUGUGGCAAGUCGGGAGUGAAAUUUCUGGGCUCAACUCAGAGACUGCUUCCGAAACUGCUGUGCUGUAGUGUGGGAGAGGCGCGUGGAAUUGCAGGUGUAGCGGUGAAAUGCGUAGAUAUUGGGAGGAACACCGGUGGCGAAAGCGGCGAGCUGGAUCACUACUGACGCUGAAGAACGAAAGCUAGGGGAGCAAACAGGAUUAGAUACCCCUGUAGUCC
RNAcentral lists this ribosomal RNA (292 nucleotides) under uncultured bacterium. RNAcentral describes it as "partial 16S ribosomal RNA". It matches the Rfam family "Bacterial small subunit ribosomal RNA", at positions 505 to 796 of the family's 1533-position model. The record is from RNAcentral.